AAAACUUUCAACAACGGAUCUCUUGGUUCUGGCAUCGAUGAAGAACGCAGCGAAAUGCGAUAAGUAAUGUGAAUUGCAGAAUUCCGUGAAUCAUCGAAUCUUUGAACGCACAUUGCGCCCUUUGGUAUUCCGAAGGGGGCAUGCCUGUUCGAGCGUCAUU
Molecule: ribosomal RNA, 160 nt
Filed under: Physcia caesia
Lineage: Eukaryota; Fungi; Ascomycota; Lecanoromycetes; Caliciales; Physciaceae
Description: 5.8S ribosomal RNA
Rfam family: 5.8S ribosomal RNA
About the family: 5.8S ribosomal RNA (5.8S rRNA) is a component of the large subunit of the eukaryotic ribosome. It is transcribed by RNA polymerase I as part of the 45S precursor that also contains 18S and 28S rRNA.
Source: RNAcentral